Molecule: transfer RNA, 78 nt
Filed under: Gammaproteobacteria bacterium
Lineage: Bacteria; Pseudomonadati; Pseudomonadota; Gammaproteobacteria
Description: tRNA-Pro
Rfam family: tRNA
About the family: Transfer RNA (tRNA) molecules are approximately 80 nucleotides in length. Their secondary structure includes four short double-helical elements and three loops (D, anti-codon, and T loops).
Source: RNAcentral
CGGGGCUUGGCGCAGUCUGAUGAGCGCAUCUCGUUUGGGACGAGAGGGUCGAAGGUUCGAAUCCUUCAGCACCGACCA